Molecule: transfer RNA, 77 nt
Filed under: Candidatus Nomurabacteria bacterium
Lineage: Bacteria; Candidatus Nomuraibacteriota
Description: tRNA-Arg
Rfam family: tRNA
About the family: Transfer RNA (tRNA) molecules are approximately 80 nucleotides in length. Their secondary structure includes four short double-helical elements and three loops (D, anti-codon, and T loops). Further hydrogen bonds mediate the characteristic L-shaped molecular structure. tRNAs have two regions of fundamental functional importance: the anti-codon, which is responsible for specific mRNA codon recognition, and the 3' end, to which the tRNAs corresponding amino acid is attached (by aminoacyl-tRNA synthetases). tRNAs cope with the degeneracy of the genetic code in two manners: having more than one tRNA (with a specific anti-codon) for a particular amino acid; and 'wobble' base-pairing, i.e. permitting non-standard base-pairing at the 3rd anti-codon position.
Source: RNAcentral
GUCCCGGUAGCUCAGCGGAUUAGAGCAGAGGGCUUCUAUCCCUCGUGUCGGGGGUUCGAUUCCCUCCCGGGAUACCA